UAUGAAUUAUUUUAGUUUAAAAAAGUUUUUUGGUUUACGCAGACCCGUGCCGAACAAACAGUUUUAGAAAUGAGAGUCAUGUUAUUUUGUUUUGUAUUAACCGCUUGCCUCACUGGUUGCUUAUGGGCACUACCGAAUGUAAAAGAAUUAGAAAUGCCUAAAGACGUCUGUUCAAGUUCAACCGGAAACGAAGGAGAAUACUGUCGAGAACAUUGCACCAAAAAAGGCAAAUCUAAUGGCCUUUGCGUGAACGAAGUGUGCCAAUGUGUUUUCGAAUAUUAACUAAAAUAAAACACCCUUAAUCUUUUAUAAAAAGAAAAAAAAACUUAUAUUGCAAGAAAAAUACAAAAUCGUUCUCUACAUCCCUAGAAAGAGAAUAAAAUAAUAAUUAUCACAAAGGAAAGGGUGUAUUACGUUUAAACGGAGAUGUCAAGGCUUAAAUCUAACAUUAAUAAUUAACAUAUUUAACAACUUAACUAUUAAAAAUUUGUUCACAAAAAACUGACGUCAGUCUUUGCACAUAUUUGUAACGCUUAAAUAAAUGCAUAUUUAUACACACAAUAAUAUAA
Long non-coding RNA from Anthonomus grandis grandis, 569 nucleotides. RefSeq lists it as uncharacterized. The transcript is spliced from 2 exons. Lineage: Eukaryota; Metazoa; Arthropoda; Insecta; Coleoptera; Curculionidae. The record is from RefSeq and is a predicted model, not a curated record.